GACGAACGCUGGCGGCGUGCUUAACACAUGCAAGUCGAACGAAGUGGCGAACGGGUGAGUAAUACGUGAGUACCCUGCCCUCCUUUUUGGGAUAAGCCUUGGACACGGGGUCUAAUACCGAAUAAAGGGGUAUGGGCUCGCGGCCUAUCGGCGUGUUGGUUGGGUUAUGGACUACAAAGGCGGUGACGGAUAGCCGGCCUGAGAGGGUGACCGGGGACAUGGGAAACGGGAUAGAGCCCAGAGGCAGACGGGAGGCGGCAGUGGGGGAUAAUGCACAAAGGGCGAAAGCCGGAUGCAGCGACGCGGCGUGAGGGAUGAAGGCUUUCGGGUUGUAAUCGUCUUGCGAGAUCGAACGGGUAGGUGAAGAAGAAGCGCCGGCUAACUACGUGCCAGCAGCCGCGGUAAUUC
This 408-nucleotide ribosomal RNA is filed under the name uncultured bacterium. Its description in RNAcentral is "partial 16S ribosomal RNA". It matches the Rfam family "Bacterial small subunit ribosomal RNA", at positions 28 to 526 of the family's 1533-position model. The record is from RNAcentral.